RNAcentral lists this long non-coding RNA (1084 nucleotides) under Gossypium raimondii (Peruvian cotton). RNAcentral describes it as "long non-coding RNA (GRAI_LNC009544)". The record is from RNAcentral. Lineage: Eukaryota; Viridiplantae; Streptophyta; Magnoliopsida; Malvales; Malvaceae.
AUCAAACAUGAUGCGUGGAUUCAUUCAUGUUGGAAAAAAAUCCGAUUCAAAAAUGAUUUUCUUAUACCGUGGAAAAAUAAAAAUUUUGAAAAUCGAAUUGAUUUGUAAUAUUUAUUGUAAACCCCAAAUUUUGUGCGGCCCAAUAAUAAUAAAUAAGACCCAAAAAAAUAAUAAAUAGGUCCAAUUAUCAAAGUCCAUUUAUAAUAAGUACAAGCCUAGAUUACAAACAAAAACCCUAGCCCAACAGGCCCACAAAACUUAGCAAGUUUUCAGCCAAAAAGAAACCCUAGGCGCCACACCUAGAUGCAGCCCGCAUGCCACCACUGCAGCACUGUUCCCCACUCGCCUAUCGCUGGCCAUCCAUGCAUCUGACACCUGCAAGAAGAAAUGAACACGCAAUAGCCAACGCCAACAAGCAGUAGAAAAAAAAACAAAUGCAAAAAGACAAAAGAAAAUAAUAACAAACAGCCUUAGUUCGGUUAUAAAAGCCGAAAAAGAGACCAUUAUACCUUCUUUGGGGGGAAGAUUAAAUACAAAACAAAAGAGAAAAGAUUUGAACUUUUAUUUGAAGGUGAUAUUCAUUUUUUUUAUUUUUAAGAUCUAUUGUUUUUUUUAUUUUAUAUUAUCUAUGAAAAUAAAAAGAAAAAUAGAGAAACGUAUCUGAAUCGCCCCGUGGCUUCGUCGACGGAAGUCCCUUCGCCGUCGUCGAAAUCGGGCUUAAAAAGAGGUCUAAGGUUUUUUUCUUCGACCCCUCAAGUUGAGGAGGCCCAGCCUUCGAGUAUGCUGCGAAACAAGAGCUAAAAAGCCCAUUUUUCCCUUUAUCGGCCACUGACCAUAGCAGCGGCGCUGCGGCCGAUGGCCGGACGCACGGCCGAUCAAGGAGAGGGUUGAGAGAAAAGGGGAAAGCUUUGGUUUUUUUUAAAAUAAAAAAUAAAAUGGCUGAAUGAGUUUUUAAAAAAAUUGAUUUAAAUGAGGGCACUAAACGGUGCCAUUUUGAACCAAGGUUACCAGCACCCAAAACGACGUCACCUGACCCCUCGACCCACGCACGCGACCCGACUCGCUAGGGGAUUCGCGUGUUUUC